RNAcentral lists this ribosomal RNA (443 nucleotides) under uncultured bacterium. RNAcentral describes it as "partial 16S ribosomal RNA". It matches the Rfam family "Bacterial small subunit ribosomal RNA", at positions 338 to 795 of the family's 1533-position model. The record is from RNAcentral.
CCUACGGGAGGCAGCAGUGGGGAAUAUUGGGCAAUGGGCGCAAGCCUGACCCAGCAACGCCGCGUGAAGGAAGAAGGCUCUCGGGUUGUUAACCUCCUUUAUUAGGGAAGUAGCAAGUGACAGUAGCUGAUGUAUAAGUCACGGCUAACUACGUGCCAGCAGCCGCGGCAAUACGGAGGUGGCGAGCGUUAUCCGGAUUUACUGGGUGUAAAGGGCGUGUAGGCGGGAGUGCAAGUCAGAUGGGAAAGCUAUGGGCUCAACCCAUAGACUGCAUUUGAAACUGGACUUCUUGAGUGCUGGAGAGGCAAUCGGAAUUCGUGGUGUAGCGGUGAAAUGCGUAGAUAUACCGAAGAACCCCGAUUGCGAAGGCAGAUUACUAGACAGUAACUGACGCUGAGGCGCGAAAGCGUGGGGAGCAAACAGGAUUAGAUACCCGGGUAGUC